This is a small nucleolar RNA of Sorex araneus (European shrew), 88 nucleotides long. The record is from Ensembl. Lineage: Eukaryota; Metazoa; Chordata; Mammalia; Eulipotyphla; Soricidae.
AUCACUUUGAUGGCUCUUUCUCACAAUGGUCUGUGGAUGCCACAGUGAGCACUGCAGAGAAUGCCAAAGGCACAGCUGAUGCUAGGGC